CAGUAGCCGCGGGAAUACGUAGGUGGCAAGCGUUGUCCGGAGUUAUUGGGCGUAAAGGGCUCGCAGGCGGUUUCUUGAGUCUGAUGUGAAAGCCCCCGGCUCAACCGGGGAGGGUCAUUGGAAACUGGGAAACUUGAGUGCAGAAGAGGAGAGUGGAAUUCCACGUGUAGCGGUGAAAUGCGUAGAGAUGUGGAGGAACACCAGUGGCGAAGGCGACUCUCUGGUCUGUAACUGACACUGAGGAGCGAAAGCGUGGGGAGCGAGCAGGAUUAGAUACCCCUGUAGUCCCUGUCUCUUAUAC
Molecule: ribosomal RNA, 301 nt
Filed under: uncultured bacterium
Lineage: Bacteria
Description: partial 16S ribosomal RNA
Rfam family: Bacterial small subunit ribosomal RNA
Source: RNAcentral